GGGGGAAGUGCUCCGUGAGGGGGGCCUGGGAGAGAAUCAGGAGAACAGGGUACAACAGCUGGUGAGUUUUCCUUCUGAUAUAGACAAUGCCUGGAGAGCAAACUGUUACAGCUAAGAGAGAUCUUUAAGUGAAAGAAAAGGAGAAGGCUCCAUCUCAGCUUAUUAGAGGACUUGAAUUUCUCUAAUGUCUUGCCUGGGAAAAGCAGCUCAGUUCUCUCUGAAAAGCAAAACCCAGGACAGAAAGCGUGGAUGUGGAAGAAGGCUGGAGUGCAGUGGCGUGAUGUCCGCUCACUGCAAGCUCUGCCUCCCGGGUUCACGCCAUUCUCCUGUCUCAGCCUCCUGAGUAGCUGGGACUACAGGCGCCUGCCACCACGUCUGGCUAAUUGCUUUUAGCACUUUUUUGGGAGAGGGGUGUGGCAACAGUAAAGCUUUCUACGUGUUAAACAGAAUGAACAAAACCAACACAGAGCAGUAACUUCCUGCCAGAGAGAGCAGAAGGAGACCCUUAUAGAACAGUUGUUCCACUGGUUCAAAGGCCUCGUGUGGUUCUAUCCUUUGGACUGCCUUUCUUCAACAGCCCAGACACCUGCUCCAUCAGAUUUAUAAGCCACACCCCCUAGAGCCAUGCCAAUCAAAGCAUGGC
Molecule: non-coding RNA, 643 nt
Filed under: Pongo abelii (Sumatran orangutan)
Lineage: Eukaryota; Metazoa; Chordata; Mammalia; Primates; Hominidae
Source: RNAcentral